UUUCACGGUUAUGUUCGAAGU
Molecule: unclassified non-coding RNA, 21 nt
Filed under: Chlamydomonas reinhardtii
Lineage: Eukaryota; Viridiplantae; Chlorophyta; Chlorophyceae; Chlamydomonadales; Chlamydomonadaceae
Description: small RNA Cre_4107
Source: RNAcentral